GUGGCAUCGUGGGGUAAAAAGGAUGACGGAGGCUCGUGGGGUAAUAAGGAUGACGGAGUAUCAUCGUGGGGUAAGAAAGAUGACGGUCAAAAGGAUGAUGGAGGAUCAUCGUGGGGUAAGAAGGACGAUGGAGGAUCUUCUUGGGGCAAAAAGGACGAUGGAGGAUAUUCUUGGGGCAAAAAGGACGAUGGGGGAUCGUUGUGGGGUAAAAAGGAUGAUGGAGGAUCUUCUUGGGGCAAAAAGGAUGAUGGAGGAUCAUCGUGGGGUAAGAAGGAUGAUGGAGGGUACUCAGAACAAACAUUUGAUA
Molecule: long non-coding RNA, 307 nt
Filed under: Arabidopsis lyrata
Lineage: Eukaryota; Viridiplantae; Streptophyta; Magnoliopsida; Brassicales; Brassicaceae
Description: long non-coding RNA (ALYR_LNC001145)
Source: RNAcentral